RNAcentral lists this transfer RNA (66 nucleotides) under Zichya tenggerensis. Its description in RNAcentral is "tRNA-Met". Lineage: Eukaryota; Metazoa; Arthropoda; Insecta; Orthoptera; Tettigoniidae. The record is from RNAcentral.
AAAAAGGUAAGCUAAAUGAAAGCUAAUGGGUUCAUACCCCGUAUAUAGGAUUUAACCUCCUUUUUA